Molecule: ribosomal RNA, 253 nt
Filed under: uncultured bacterium
Lineage: Bacteria
Description: partial 16S ribosomal RNA
Rfam family: Bacterial small subunit ribosomal RNA
Source: RNAcentral
UAAGAAGGGGGCUAGCGUUGCUCGGAAUCACUGGGCGUAAAGCGCACGUAGGCGGCUUCUUAAGUCAGGGGUGAAAUCCUGGAGCUCAACUCCAGAACUGCCUUUGAUACUGAGGAGCUUGAGUUCGGGAGAGGUGAGUGGAACUCCGAGUGUAGAGGUGAAAUUCGUAGAUAUUCGGAAGAACACCAGUGGCGAAGGCGGCUCACUGGCCCGAUACUGACGCUGAGGUGCGAAAGCGUGGGGAGCAAACAGG